This is a non-coding RNA of Cordylochernes scorpioides, 74 nucleotides long. The record is from the annotation of a GenBank genome assembly. NCBI's taxonomy places the organism in Eukaryota, Metazoa, Arthropoda, Arachnida, Pseudoscorpiones, Chernetidae.
UGCACCUUGGCUUAGUUGGUUAAGGCGCCUGUCUAGUAAACAGGAGAUUUUGAGUUCAAAUCUAGCUGGUGCCU